Molecule: long non-coding RNA, 4010 nt
Organism: Bos taurus (domestic cattle)
Lineage: Eukaryota; Metazoa; Chordata; Mammalia; Artiodactyla; Bovidae
Source: Ensembl
CGGAUCCGGGGUGCCUGGGGUCUGGUGGGGCUGGGGCGCAGACGCCCAAAAUGCUUGGUCCUCCUGGCCUCCCUGCCUGCGCCUUGGACCGCGCUGGGGCAGGCCGCUCCGGCCCUGGAGGCUGUGUGGGCAGCGCGCCCCCGGGUAUUCGCCUGGGCUCCCUCUCCGAAGCUGCGGCCAGAGCUCGGCGAGUACUCCCUGCAGCUGCAUUCCGGCGCGCGGAGCCAUGCAGGGGUGGCGUCCGUGGGCCUGGUGUCCAGCUCGCUUUGGGCCGGUUGGAGACCACAGAACUGAGGUCAGGUCCUGAGCGCGCUCUAUGUCUGUACCUUGGACACCCAGGCAUCCAUCUCCAGCCUCUAACUCCCUCUUCCAGUUACUAGGGACCUUCCAGGCCCAGGGACUUUGGAAGCAUCCGGAGAGAUUCGGGUUCCCCAGCUGGAGACCUGAGGACAGAGCCAGCGCCUAUAAUUAGCCACAAUAACGCCCAUAAUAGUAAUUACUAAUUACCAGCUGUGUAACCAGGCUUUAUUUUCUGUGUUCAGAGUCAGAUUUUCUUCCUGGUCAUGCUCCCCCCGCCCCCCCCCCCUUAUCUCCACCCCCGACCUCACCCCACCAGUCCCUCUUACCCACAGCAACUGCUAGGACUCCUUUCCUGCGGUUCCAGCUUCUGGGGGUGGGAGGGCAGCGGGCAGAUGGGCGCUCCUGCUCUGGGAAGCCCCUGACCACAGCUUCCUCCUGCCCCCCAGCCCCCCAGCCCACACUCCCCAACCCCCUCUCUCGCCAACACCCAAAACAAACCAAUGCGCCCUGGCCACUGUCCUGUUUAGCAAGCUCCAGUGUCACGUUUCAGGAUGACAGGUAAACACAGGUAAGAUAAGGCCUCUUGUGAGACCUGAAGAGCCAGAUGGAAUGUAUGCCCAGAGAAAUUCCCGGUGUCAAGAUUGAGCCACAGGAUGAAUCACCUUCUUCCCAGCCCUACCUGCAGCUGUGUGAGCCCCUCACACCAUAGCCAUCCCAGCCUGGGGAAGAUGGAGGAAGACAGGACAGCCUUGUCCUGACCCCCAAGGGGCCCAGCAAUGCCGCCCUCCACGCUCUGGCUGUAUCUGCAUCACCUCCUUUCUGGUCCUGGAGUGAUUCAGGUUCCUGAACGCACCCGAGAGGGACCCGAGGCGAUUGGCCUCCAUCACGCCGCAGAGCUCCCUUUGGCUGGAAAGCCCGGACUCUUGGCGCCCCUCCCGGCUAGGACAUGAGCCUCGGGAGGCACCCACGCGUGUGCAGGGCCCGCGUGUGCAGACGCGGCUCCGGAGAUAUCGGGGCUGCCUCUCCGGGCCGCAGCUCGGAUCAGAGGCCGGCUGGGUGGCCUGACCCUGGCGGCACCCUGCCCCUGCGGCCAGUCCCCCGCCCCAAACCUUGCACCCCGAUGGAUGAAACCCAGGUCAACACUUUGGACCUUUCUCCAGCAGGAUCCAGCCGGAAAGCCACCCCCGCUUAGCGACAGCGAGGCGAGUGUCAAACAGUCCCCGGGCAGCCGAGACUCUCUCAGGAGCGUCCAGCUCUCACCGUGGAGCCCAAGGGCUCCAGCCCGGAGCCAGCCGGGUUGGCCGGGCCACGGUGAUUCCGCAGUUCCCUCGGUCUGGACCCCUCCGGGCCGGGCCUGCGCGCUCCGGCGACUCCAGGCCCAGACCCACGCGGAGCCCGACCGAAGGUUAGCCCUGGUGCCUCCCGGCCUAGAGUAGCACCCAGCAAACGUCCAGAGCGAGCGGGACUGCCGAGACCCCGCGGCGAGACUUGCUCGCCUGCCUUGGCAGGACAAGCCCAGUGGGGCCGGCGGAGGAGAUUCCAGAAAAACCCGGGGAGAAAAAUCGCCGUGCAGCAAGGGCGGUGGGCGGCCAGAUGCUCCGGGCCAAGCCCCGCACGAACGUAGAGCGCGUGUCUGGACGGAGGGGGCCGUGAGCCCCGGGCGCCGCGAGCCUCCUGAGCCGGCCUCCGUUUCCCCCGGUGGAGACACGGACCACAGGGCCCCGGCCUGGAGUGUCGGAGGAAGCGAAUUACAUGCGUGUGCGCACAUGUCAAUAUUUUAUAAACCUCCCCUUAAUUAACCAGAUCAUUUCCAUUAUGCCUCCAACCCCAUCCACCGCAACGGUGUGAGGGUUUGCAGGCUUUAUAAUUCGAUGCCACCAGACGGUUGCUCGGGGGCAGAGGUGUGAUCGCCCGCGCCAGCUGCGCUUGUAUUUAUUUGUUUUUCUCCCGUGUUCCUGUAGGGCGCCAUUAUGCAGUUUUUAAUUAGUUUGUGUUUGUAGUUCACCCGUCCCAAAUCAAUGCCAUCCCGGAGCACGGCGAUGUAAAUUCUCGAAGUACAGGUGUAGCUGCCUGCUCGGGAACACGGGGAAGCGCGUGUCUGACAAAUGAAAGCCGGGCGGACUGUCAGCUCUCGGCAGCCAAGAGGCGCAGAUCAAAGCCAUCGGGGACUCCUGCGCCCUCGGAGCGCCUCAGUGGCGGCGGCUCCUAAUGCUAUUAGAGGGAGAGUCGGGUGCAGCUCGGCGUGGGGGACAAAGUGACUUUUCAUUUUGCUGGAAUCCUGGGUUCCCUGGGCCAGCGCUGGCCUCCCGCGCGCUCUGGCCUUGGGGCCUGGUGGGCGCUGGGCACCCUGCAUCAGGCUCCCGCCCCGGAUGCCCGGCUGGCUGUGGGCGCGCGUGCACGGACCCAGUGCUGGAGAAAGGUCAUUGCCACUUCCAGCGGGGUUCCGCAGCCCUUUCAUAGAACCCACGGCCAACAGCCGGGACUUUGGGAAUCUCCAGACUGGAGAACCCCCCUCACCCCCACUCCCAGGUCCCGCUCAUUUCUCUUCUUGAAAUGACCUCUGUGCAAUGAGUGUAAAUUAUUCUUCCCAGCCACCAGGGAAUUCUUUUAAAGAUUUUUUUUUUUUUUUUUUUGGAUCGGGAAUAAGAGAUUGUUCAUCUUUAACUAGACCACAUAGAAAUUAUGAUUCAACAGCAGUGUGUAUUUAAUUAGAGUAAUCUCACUUGAAUUUAAUUACCUAAUGAAUUAUUUGUUUAAAAGGUAGAACGUCUUGUUUGCCAAGUGUGGUGCAGACCUCUGAUAAGAACUUGUGUUAUAAGGACAUUACAGUAUAAAGCAGCCAUGUAGUAAGGUUUGGUUUUAACUCUUUGCGUGUGUAAUGGUUACUGUAGCACUCAACACACACACUAAGAUCAUGUCCGGAAGGCUGAGGGGAGGGCAGAAGCUCCCAUUAGCCAAACAGAGGCUUAGUUCUGUUGUGCAGGCAGGGCCCCUUCGAAAUUAAUAUCUUCCAACCCCUUUCCUCAUACACAUCUAUUUUUAAAUGUAUUUUUCAAUAGUUUUGUGUGUGUGUGCCAGAUGACAGCUGCCUAUUAUGACUCAUUUUAUGAUUCAUAUUUGCAAUGAAGUGGUACAUCUCCUUCAGGAAAACUCCAGCCUAGCUUCUCUGGGUGCCUGAACCUCCAUACUAGUGACAGAAAGGCUUUCUGAGGUCAUUGAACAUUAGAGGAAGGGAAGCUACAAUGCCCCAGACUGUGAUCUUAACCCCUAGUGCCUAAAUAAUGGAAGGAUUUCAUCCCCUCUCAUUUUGUAAGAGCAAAUGACUCCAAACCGUGCCACCCUUUCCAGUGGGCUCUGAAGGGGAUGUGUCUCCAGCUAAACAUACAUGAAAUCCACCUGGUUGAAUUCCACUGUUAUUUUCAUUCAUAGGUCAUUAACCAGAUAUUUAAUUGUAGAUUUGGGCACUAUUAUCACAUAAAUAUUAAGUAUUAAUAAUAUAGUGUUCAACUAAGUAGGAAUAGGCUUAUGAGAAAAAAUAAAAAACUUUGAUAAGAAUUAUUAACUUUUUUAGAGUCUCUUAUUUUUAUCACAGCUGUGCAUUUUAAAACCGAUGCUUUAGCAACUGAUAGUGGUUAUUAAUAAAUUAUAAACUUAAUCAUGUUAAGUUAUGGUUAUAGUCGCAUCUUUCUUCCUAAGAAAUAGAUCUACAU